Molecule: ribosomal RNA, 494 nt
Filed under: uncultured bacterium
Lineage: Bacteria
Description: partial 16S ribosomal RNA
Rfam family: Bacterial small subunit ribosomal RNA
Source: RNAcentral
UGGGGAAUCUUGCGCAAUGGGCGAAAGCCUGACGCAGCCAUGCCGCGUGAGUGAUGAAGGCCUUAGGGUUGUAAAACUCUUUCACCGGGGACGAUAAUGACGGUACCCGGAGAAGAAGCCCCGGCUAACUUCGUGCCAGCAGCCGCGGUAAUACGAAGGGGGCUAGCGUUGCUCGGAAUUACUGGGCGUAAAGGGCGCGUAGGCGGAUCAGCAAGUUGGGGGUGAAAGCCCGGGGCUCAACCUCGGAAUUGCCUUCAAAACUGCUGAUCUAGAGUACGGGAGAGGUGUGUGGAACUCCGAGUGUAGAGGUGAAAUUCGUAGAUAUUCGGAAGAACACCAGUGGCGAAGGCGACACACUGGCCCGUUACUGACGCUGAGGCGCGAAAGCGUGGGGAGCAAACAGGAUUAGAUACCCUGGUAGUCCACGCUGUAAACGAUGAUUGCUAGUUGUCGGCAGGCAUGCCUGUCGUGACGCAGCUAACGCAUUAAGCAAU